This 468-nucleotide ribosomal RNA is filed under the name uncultured bacterium. Its description in RNAcentral is "partial 16S ribosomal RNA". It matches the Rfam family "Bacterial small subunit ribosomal RNA", at positions 28 to 507 of the family's 1533-position model. The record is from RNAcentral.
GACGAACGCUGGCGGCGCGCCUAACACAUGCAAGUCGAACGGAGUCAAGAGGAGCUUGCUUUUCUUGACUUAGUGGCGAACGGGUGAGUAACGCGUGAGUAACCGGCCGUGGAGUGGGGGACAACAGUUGGAAACGACUGCUAAUACCGCAUAAGACCACGGAUCUGCAUGGAUCUGCGGGAAAAGGAUUUAUUCGCUCUAGGAUGGACUCGCGUCCAAUUAGCUAGUUGGUGAGGUAACGGCCCACCAAGGCGACGAUGGGUAGCCGGACUGAGAGGUUGCACGGCCACAUUGGGACUGAGACACGGCCCAGAAUCCUACGGGAGGCAGCAGAGGGGGAUACUGCACAAUGGGGGAAACGCUGAUGCAGCGACGCCGGGUGGAGGAAGAAGGUUUUCGGAUUGUAAACUCCUGUCGUUAGCGACGAUAAUGACGGUACCUAACAAGAAAGCACCAGCUAACUACGUG